UUCCCUACGGGAGGCAGCAGUGAGGAAUAUUGGUCAAUGGCCGAGAGGCUGAACCAGCCAAGUCGCGUGAGGGAAGACGGCCCUACGGGUUGUAAACCUCUUUUGUCGGGGAGCAAAGCGAACCACGUGUGGUUCAUUGAGAGUACCCGAAGAAAAAGCAUCGGCUAACUCCGUGCCAGCAGCCGCGGUAAUACGGAGGAUGCGAGCGUUAUCCGGAUUUAUUUGGUUUAAAGGGUGCGCAGGCGGAGGUUCAAGUCAGCGGUCAAAUUGCGCGGCUCAACCCCGUACUGUCGUUUCAAC
RNAcentral lists this ribosomal RNA (300 nucleotides) under uncultured bacterium. Its description in RNAcentral is "bacterial SSU rRNA". It matches the Rfam family "Bacterial small subunit ribosomal RNA", at positions 335 to 633 of the family's 1533-position model. The record is from RNAcentral.